Molecule: non-coding RNA, 75 nt
Filed under: Streptomyces nanshensis
Lineage: Bacteria; Bacillati; Actinomycetota; Actinomycetes; Kitasatosporales; Streptomycetaceae
Source: RNAcentral
CUUCACGGUGCCGACGAGCAGUGGCCGCCGGGAGUCCCGGUCCUUGCCGUAGGUGGCCAGCAGCGCCUGGGCCUC